RNAcentral lists this non-coding RNA (243 nucleotides) under Lentilactobacillus buchneri. RNAcentral describes it as "Lactobacillus buchneri T-box sequence". It matches the Rfam family "T-box leader". From Rfam's summary of the family: Uncharged tRNA acts as the effector for transcription antitermination of genes in the T-box leader family. T-boxes are found upstream of many aminoacyl-tRNA synthetase genes and some amino acid biosynthetic genes usually in Gram-positive bacteria. The anticodon of a specific tRNA base pairs to a specifier sequence within the T-box motif, and the NCCA acceptor tail of the tRNA base pairs to a conserved bulge in the T-box antiterminator hairpin. Lineage: Bacteria; Bacillati; Bacillota; Bacilli; Lactobacillales; Lactobacillaceae. The record is from RNAcentral.
UUUGAAAUGAUGAUGAGAAGAGUAAUUAACAAUUUGAUUUCUCAGAGAACGUCGGAUGCUGAAAAGACGUAAUUGGAUUGCUAAUGAAGAUGAGCUCGGAGUUUAAAUACGUGAAAGCGAUAUUUACGUUUGGAUGCGUUACAAUCCCAGACUUAAUAGCAUUAUUUGUUAUUGAGUUGGUAAGAUGACUACUGUGAAGUAGUCAUAAACGAAGGUGGCAUCACGUAUUCAUACGUCCUUGUG